GGUUUGAUCAUGGCUCAGGACGAACGCUGGCGGCGUGCCUAAUACAUGCAAGUCGAGCGGACUGAUUCGGAGCUUGCUUCGAGGAUGUCAGCGGCGGACGGGUGAGUAACACGUGGGUAACCUGCCUGGCAGACUGGGAUAACGCUUGGAAACGAGUGCUAAUACCGGAUGAUCUCUUGGACUGCAUGGUUCGAGAGUAAAAGGAGCUUUUGCUUCACUGCCAGAUGGACCCGCGGCGCAUUAGCUAGUUGGUGAGGUAACGGCUCACCAAGGCGACGAUGCGUAGCCGACCUGAGAGGGUGACCGGCCACACUGGGACUGAGACACGGCCCAGACUCCUACGGGAGGCAGCAGUAGGGAAUCUUCCGCAAUGGGCGCAAGCCUGACGGAGCAACGCCGCGUGAGUGAUGAAGGCCUUCGGGUUGUAAAACUCUGUCUUCUGUGACGAACCAUCCUGUGCAGGGAAAGCUCAGGACCUGACGGUAACAGAGGAGGAAGCCCCGGCUAACUACGUGCCAGCAGCCGCGGUAAUAA
RNAcentral lists this ribosomal RNA (534 nucleotides) under uncultured bacterium. Its description in RNAcentral is "bacterial SSU rRNA". It matches the Rfam family "Bacterial small subunit ribosomal RNA", at positions 10 to 526 of the family's 1533-position model. The record is from RNAcentral.